RNAcentral lists this ribosomal RNA (292 nucleotides) under uncultured bacterium. RNAcentral's name for it is "partial 16S ribosomal RNA". The record is from RNAcentral.
GGACUACAAGGGUUUCUAAUCCUGUUUGCUCCCCACGCUUUCGUGCCUCAGUGUCAGGAACGUUCCAGAGAGCCGCCUUCGCCACCGGCCUUCUUCCCGAUCUCUACGCAUUUCACCGCUACACCGGGAAUUCCGCUCUCCUCUCCCGCCCUCUAGCUAGGCAGUCACCUGCGACCUUCCUGGGUUAAGCCCAGGUCUUUCCCACAGAUCUUACCUCACCACCUACGCACUCUUUACGCCCAGUAAAUCCGAACAACGCUUGCCACCUCUGUCUUACCGCGGCUGCUGGCAC